This 2539-nucleotide ribosomal RNA is filed under the name groundwater metagenome. RNAcentral describes it as "bacterial LSU rRNA". It matches the Rfam family "Bacterial large subunit ribosomal RNA", at positions 1 to 2069 of the family's 2925-position model. The record is from RNAcentral.
UGGAGAGCAUAAGGGCAUACGGUGGAUGACUUGACACGAAAAGCCGAUGAAGGACGUAGCAGUCUGCGAUAAGCCUCGGGGAGGUGACAAGCAACCUUUGAUCCGGGGAUUUCCGAAUGGAGCAAUCCACUUCGAUGGAAGAUCGAAGUAUCGCUCACUGAAUUCAUAGGUGUGCGAAGGGUACCUGGUGAAGUGAAACAUCUCAGUAACCAGAGGAAAAGAAAAUAAUAUGGAAGUUUGAUGCCGAAUCUGGAGGGCGCAAGUCUUUCAGUUUUAGCAUCAUACUUUCCAAUCAUUCCCCUAGUAGUGGCGAGCGAACGGGGAAGAGUCUAAACCUCCUCCAUGAGUUUUUGUGGCGGCUUGUUGUUGAAAGACAAUCGGUACGUGCGAAGAUGAAAGGUGUCGGCCGUUGUGGAGAGAGGUGUUGUGUGGUGAUUGUGGUCCCCGCCGAUAUCGGGGACGUAAGUUGUAUAAUUUCCCUAGUAGAAGGGUCCUGGAAUGGCCCACCAAAGAAGGUGAAAGUCCUGUACGCGAAAGGGAUUAAACACUUAUCGUGAUCAAUCCACGAGUACCACGGGCCUCGUGAAAUCCUGUGGGAAUCAGCCGCGACUAUGCGGUAAGACUAAAUACUUUUCGUGAUCGAUAGUGAACCAGUACAGUGAUGGAAAGUUGAAAAGUAGCCCGGAAGGGCGAUGAAAUAGUAUCUGAAACCGUAUGCUUACAAGGAGUCAGAGCCUGUCGCAAGAUGGGUGAUGGCGUUCCUAUUGAAGAAUGAGCCAACGACUUUGCUGUGCGUUGCUUGGUUAAGCUCCUGCGGGAGCGAAGCCGAAGCGAAAGCGAGUCUUAAUAGGGCGUAUCCACUUAUUUUUUCCGUUGACCUUCCAUGGUCAAUGCGAAAAAAUGGGUGGAAGGUAACGCGCACAAAACCCGAAACCGGGCGACCGAUCCAUGGCCAGGGUGAAGUUCCGCGAAGGCGGAAUGGAGGCCCGAACCCACGUGCCGUUCAAAACACGGGGAUGAGUUGUGGAUAGCGGAGAAAUUCCAAUCGAGCUCGGUAAUAGCUGGUUCUCCCCGAAAUAGCUUAAGGGCUAGCGUCGGAACAAUCGUACUGGGGGUAGAGCACUGAAUGGGGUCCGAUGGAGUGAUCCUACGUACCCUAACCAAACUCCGAAUACCAGUACGUCUACCGGCAGUCAGUCCAUGGGGGCUAAGCUCCAUGCGACAAAAGGGAAACAGCCCUUGAUCUCAGUCUAAGGUCCUUAAAUCGUGAUUAAGUGUGAAAGGUGGUGAGGUGACUCAAACAACCAGGAGGUUGGCUUAGAAGCAGCCAUCCUUUAAAGAAAGCGUAACAGCUCACUGGUCGAGUUCCCUUGCAUCGAAAAUUCAACGGGGCUCAAAUCACGUACCGAAGACGAGGACUUGUUCACUUCGGUGAACAAUUGGUAGGGGAGCAUUCUGUAGGCGACGAAGGCGACGGCGUGAGCCGCGCUGGAGCGUACAGAAGAGAGAAUGUUGGCAUAAGUAGCAGCAAGACGGGUGAGAACCCCGUCCGCCGCAAACCCAAGGUUUCCUGGGCAACGAAAAUCGUCCCAGGGUUAGUCGGUCCUAAGGUCAGGCCGAAGGGCGUAGCCGAUGGACAGCAGGUUAAUAUUCCUGCACUACCGUUUGAUUAUCCGUGCGUGACGCUUCGCCGUAUCGCGUGUGUGUUUCGGUUAUACACAUCCGCGGCCGCAAGUUUCAUCGAGCAAUCGGUGACGCGAGUGGUUGAAGGGAGUGGGCUCGCGAGAGCUCGCAACACAUGAAAAGGUGGAGCCUAGAAAAACCGCACGGUCACGUCAGAUGGUAACCGUACCGUAAACCGACACAGGUGGGUGGGCAUGAUUGUGCCAAGGCGUACGAGAGAAACAUCGUUAAGGAACUCGGCAAUACAGAGGCCGUAACUUCGGGAUAAGGCCUGCCCCGCGCAAGCGGGGCCGCAGCGAAAGACGCCAAGCGACUGUUUAUCAAAAACACAGGUCCCUGCAAAAUCGUAAGAUGACAUAUAGGGGCUGAUGCCUGGCCAGUGUCAGAACGUUAAAGAAGGUGGUCAUGUGUUCGCAAGAACGCGGCAGCCGCCGACUGAAGCGCUGAUGAACGCCGGCGAUAACUAUAAUCGUCCUAAGGUUUUCUGGAUCACUUUGUGGUCCGGAAAACGACUGGGACGAUUAUGGAAAGAUAAACAAAAAAUAAAAAAGCCAUUCGAAAAAGCUGCCGCUUCAUUGAGGAAUCAAUGAAGUCAGUCUAAUUCAGCGAUAUGCAAGGAAAACCUCUUUGGAGGAAAACUUGCAGGAAACCAAAUUCCGCGCAAGCGGGAAAGUAGGAUCCUCAGGCACUCUCGCGCUGACACCGAGAACCGGUGUAAACAGAGUCCACGUCAAAGGAUACGUCAGCGAAAUUCCUUGUCGGGUGAGUUCCGACCUGCACGAAUGGCAUAACGACUUGGCGACUCUCUCAACGAUGUACUCGGCGAAAUUGCAAGAUGAGUGAAGAUGCUCAUUAC